GCUCACGUAGGGGGACUGACGAGCAUGCCGCGUGAGUGAGAGGUCUUCGGAUCGUAAGCUCUGUUGUAAGUGAAGAACGGAUCAUAGAGGAAAUGCUAUGGGAGUGACGGUAGCUUACCAGAAAGCCACGGCUAACUACGUGCCAGCAGCCGCGGUAAUACGUAGGUGGCAAGCGUUAUCCGGAAUCAUUGGGCGUAAAGGGUGCGUAGGUGGCGUACUAAGUCUGUAGUAAAAGGCAAUGGCUCAACCAUUGUAAGCUAUGGAAACUGGUAUGCUGGAGUGCAGAAGAGGGCGAUGGAAUUCCAUGUGUAGCGGUAAAAUGCGUAGAUAUAUGGAGGAACACCAGUGGCGAAGGCGGUCGCCUGGUCUGUAACUGACACUGAGGCACGAAAGCGUGGGGAGCAAAUAGGAUUAGAUACCCUAGUAGUCCACGCCGUAAACGAUGAGAACUAAGUGUUGGAGGAAUUCAGUGCUGCAGUUAACGCAAUAAGUUCUCCGCCUGGGGAGUAUGCACGCAAGU
This 520-nucleotide ribosomal RNA is filed under the name uncultured bacterium. RNAcentral's name for it is "bacterial SSU rRNA". It matches the Rfam family "Bacterial small subunit ribosomal RNA", at positions 366 to 893 of the family's 1533-position model. The record is from RNAcentral.